This 695-nucleotide long non-coding RNA is filed under the name Mus musculus (house mouse). RNAcentral's name for it is "long non-coding RNA chr6:15166140-15166835". Lineage: Eukaryota; Metazoa; Chordata; Mammalia; Rodentia; Muridae. The record is from RNAcentral.
AUCUAAAAUAUAACUUAGACACAUUAUUCUGGGAUAGAUACAUCAUUUUCUUAGCAUGUACAAGAUUCUGAAACCAGAUUUUUAGCAAAGCAAACAUAUGUAGGUAGUUACAAACUCAAAUGAAGAAGCAAAUGCUAAUUCAGUCUUUGCUAGGAGUUUCUCCCUCUUCUCUCCCCCCUUACUCUCCUUCCCUUUUAUGGCCUAUCACUCUCUCUUUUUCCUCUUCUUAGUUCCUCCCCCAUCUCUUUUCUUUCAAGAUGAGAUUCACUUUAUCAAUAGGCUAGCAUGGAACUCUUGCUGCUCCUACCUCAGUCUCUUUCUGACUGCUUCAGUACAGUUGUAUGCCACCUCUAAUCUGGUAAGAGCAUGGUUUUUAAGAAUACAUUGUAUCAGGCUGGAGAGGUGGCUCUGAGGUUCAGAGCACUGUCUGCUAUUCCAGAGGUCCUGAGUUCAAGUCCCAGCAACCACAUAGUGGCUCACAACCAUCUGGUGCCCUCUUCUGGCUUGCAGGCAAACAUGCAGGAAGAAUGCUGCAUACAUAAUAAAUAAAUCUUUUUAAAAAUACAUUCUAUCUUAGGAAUCACAAAGGAAAAAACUAAACAGAUUACAUUAAAAACAAAAUAAAUUGGAAAUAUAAUAGUGAAAAGAAUUAAUACAUUUAUAUACUCAAUAUUUUAUGUAGCUCAAUAUUCUGU